AGAGUUUGAUCAUGGCUCAGGACGAACGCUGGCGGCGUGCCUAAUACAUGCAAGUAGAACGCUGAAGUCUGGUGCUUGCACCGGAUGGAUGAGUUGCGAACGGGUGAGUAACGCGUAGGUAACCUACCUCAUAGCGGGGGAUAACUAUUGGAAACGAUAGCUAAUACCGCAUAACAGUCUUUAACUCAUGUUAGAGGCUUGAAAGGGGCAAUUGCUUCACUAUGAGAUGGACCUGCGUUGUAUUAGCUAGUUGGUGAGGUAACGGCUCACCAAGGCGACGAUACAUAGCCGACCUGAGAGGGUGAUCGGCCACACUGGGACUGAGACACGGCCCAGACUCCUACGGGAGGCAGCAGUAGGGAAUCUUCGGCAAUGGGGGCAACCCUGACCGAGCAACGCCGCGUGAGUGAAGAAGGUUUUCGGAUCGUAAAGCUCUGUUGUAAGAGAAGAACGUGUGUGAGAGUGGAAAGUUCACACAGUGACGGUAUCUUACCAGAAAGGGACGGCUAACUACGUGCCAGCAGCCGCGGUAAUACGUAGGUCCCGAGCGUUGUCCGGAUUUAUUGGGCGUAAAGCGAGCGCAGGCGGUUUGAUAAGUCUGAAGUUAAAGGCUGUGGCUCAACCAUAGUACGCUUUGGAAACUGUCAAACUUGAGUGCAGAAGGGGAGAGUGGAAUUCCAUGUGUAGCGGUGAAAUGCGUAGAUAUAUGGAGGAACACCGGUGGCGAAAGCGGCUCUCUGGUCUGUAACUGACGCUGAGGCUCGAAAGCGUGGGUAGCGAACAGGAUUAGAUACCCUGGUAGUCCACGCCGUAAACGAUGAGUGCUAGGUGUUAGGCCCUUUCCGGGGCUUAGUGCCGCAGCU
Molecule: ribosomal RNA, 863 nt
Filed under: uncultured bacterium
Lineage: Bacteria
Description: bacterial SSU rRNA
Rfam family: Bacterial small subunit ribosomal RNA
Source: RNAcentral